AGAACGAACGCUGGCGGCAGGCUUAACACAUGCAAGUCGAACGCGUGUAGCAAUACACGAGUGGCGCACGGGUGAGUAACGCGUGGAUAUCUGCCUUUCGGUUCGGAAUAACCCCGGGAAACUGGGGCUAAUACCGGAUGGUUCCUACGGGAUAAAGAUUUAUCGCCAAAAGAUGAGUCCGCGUCCGAUUAGCUAGUUGGUGGGGUAAUGGCCUACCAAGGCGACGAUCGGUAGCUGGUCUGAGAGGACGAUCAGCCACACUGGGACUGAGACACGGCCCAGACUCCUACGGGAGGCAGCAGUGGGGAAUAUUGGACAAUGGGGGCAACCCUGAUCCAGCCAUGCCGCGUGAGUGAUGAAGGCCUUCGGGUUGUAAAGCUCUUUUGGCGGGGACGAUGAUGACGGUACCCGCAGAAUAAGCCCCGGCUAACUUCGCGCCAGCAGCCGC
This 448-nucleotide ribosomal RNA is filed under the name uncultured bacterium. RNAcentral describes it as "SSU rRNA". It matches the Rfam family "Bacterial small subunit ribosomal RNA", at positions 26 to 518 of the family's 1533-position model. The record is from RNAcentral.